AGAGUUUGAUCCUGGCUCAGGAUGAACGCUGGCGGCGUGCCUAACACAUGCAAGUCGAGCGGGUGUACCCCUUCGGGGGCUACACUAGCGGCGGACGGGUGAGUAACGCGUGGGUAAUCUGCCUGACACUCGCGAAUACCGAUGAGAAAUCAUCAUUAAUACGCGAUACGGUUCAGCUGCCUCCUGGCAGUUGAAAGAAA
Molecule: ribosomal RNA, 200 nt
Filed under: uncultured bacterium
Lineage: Bacteria
Description: partial 16S ribosomal RNA
Rfam family: Bacterial small subunit ribosomal RNA
Source: RNAcentral